RNAcentral lists this small nuclear RNA (106 nucleotides) under Chelydra serpentina (North American snapping turtle). Lineage: Eukaryota; Metazoa; Chordata; Testudines; Chelydridae. The record is from RNAcentral.
GUGCUCGCUUCGGCAGCACAUGUACUCAAACUGGAACGAUACAGAGGAGAAUGUGGCCCCUGCGCAAGGAUGACUCAGCAUCAGGCUGUAGGAAAAAUGCUGGAUU